UGAAGAGAAAAUGAACAGCCCUUCUGCUUACCAAGAAAGCCUUGAAUAGAGCAGAUUUUACAUAAGAACAGGGCAGUCUUUUCUUUGUUAACUUGAGCUUACGGUAUCGGCUACUUAUGCUGCCAGAAGGGUGAGCUGCAGCUUGAACCAAGAGCCCCUGCUCUACCGCAAUGUGCUAUAAACCCUGUUUGGACACCAGCUGCUGUUCACCUUGAGUGAACGAACAUAUUUCUGACAGGGAAAGCUCAUCGUAAUGUAGGGCACUGCACUUACCUAGCUGCAACUUCUAAAAUCUUUUGUAUGGGUGUGAAGGAUUCACUUGCACUGCAACACCUACCUAAAACCACUACAGGCGGGGUCAGUGACCAUACCGGUAAACUUCCUGUGCAAGAGGGGAAAAAGUACCUUUGGUUUUGUUGAUGUCCUGUUGAUAAACGGUACCAGUUUGUCUGCAAAUAUUUUGUACCGUGAAAUUUCACUCUAGAAGCACUAAUUUAACACAGGGGAAUUUAACAGCAAGCCUAAAAAUAUAUAGAAAACUUGGGAUGGAAAGACAUCCUGCGGAUAACAGCAUGGCCUGGAGCUUGAAUCACCUUUCUUCAUCAACAAGUUUUCUGGUAACAUUGAUCCUCCUUACAAACACUUUUUUUUGGUGAAGUACAAGUCUAACUUCAGAAAACUGCUUUACAGGACAGUGCUCCACCAGACAGUUCCUGUUUCUAUAAAGGGAGGUGGACAGCAGCAGACAUCGUGGGGCACCUUUACCUAAGGCCAUGCAGAAUUUGCUCUCAAGCAUGCACCUGUUAUCCUUCAUACCUGUUUGUUAGAGCUAAGAGCUCUACCUGAGCUCUUAGCAAGUACCUGAGCAAGUAGUUAUCAGACAGGGUUUUAGAGCUGGGGUGGGGUGAAAAGGCUGGAGAAAGGAAAUUGAGAGGAAAAAAACACAUCUUA
Long non-coding RNA from Oxyura jamaicensis (ruddy duck), 951 nucleotides. RefSeq lists it as uncharacterized. NCBI's taxonomy places the organism in Eukaryota, Metazoa, Chordata, Aves, Anseriformes, Anatidae. The record is from RefSeq and is a predicted model, not a curated record. The transcript has 2 exons.